This 1369-nucleotide ribosomal RNA is filed under the name uncultured bacterium. RNAcentral describes it as "bacterial SSU rRNA". It matches the Rfam family "Bacterial small subunit ribosomal RNA", at positions 28 to 1381 of the family's 1533-position model. The record is from RNAcentral.
GACGAACGCUGGCGGCGUGCCUAAUACAUGCAAGUAGAACGCUGAAGAGAGGAGCUUGCUCUUCUUGGAUGAGUUGCGAACGGGUGAGUAACGCGUAGGUAACCUGCCUUGUAGCGGGGGAUAACUAUUGGAAACGAUAGCUAAUACCGCAUAACAAUGGAUGACACAUGUCAUUUAUUUGAAAGGGGCAAUUGCUCCACUACAAGAUGGACCUGCGUUGUAUUAGCUAGUAGGUGAGGUAACGGCUCACCUAGGCGACGAUACAUAGCCGACCUGAGAGGGUGAUCGGCCACACUGGGACUGAGACACGGCCCAGACUCCUACGGGAGGCAGCAGUAGGGAAUCUUCGGCAAUGGGGGCAACCCUGACCGAGCAACGCCGCGUGAGUGAAGAAGGUUUUCGGAUCGUAAAGCUCUGUUGUAAGUCAAGAACGUGUGUGAGAGUGGAAAGUUCACACUGUGACGGUAGCUUACCAGAAAGGGACGGCUAACUACGUGCCAGCAGCCGCGGUAAUACGUAGGUCCCGAGCGUUGUCCGGAUUUAUUGGGCGUAAAGCGAGCGCAGGCGGUUUGAUAAGUCUGAAGUUAAAGGCUGUGGCUCAACCAUAGUUCGCUUUGGAAACUGUCAAACUUGAGUGCAGAAGGGGAGAGUGGAAUUCCAUGUGUAGCGGUGAAAUGCGUAGAUAUAUGGAGGAACACCGGUGGCGAAAGCGGCUCUCUGGUCUGUAACUGACGCUGAGGCUCGAAAGCGUGGGGAGCGAACAGGAUUAGAUACCCUGGUAGUCCACGCCGUAAACGAUGAGUGCUAGGUGUUGGAUCCUUUCCGGGAUUCAGUGCCGCAGCUAACGCAUUAAGCACUCCGCCUGGGGAGUACGACCGCAAGGUUGAAACUCAAAGGAAUUGACGGGGGCCCGCACAAGCGGUGGAGCAUGUGGUUUAAUUCGAAGCAACGCGAAGAACCUUACCAGGUCUUGACAUCCCGAUGCUAUUUCUAGAGAUAGAAAGUUACUUCGGUACAUCGGUGACAGGUGGUGCAUGGUUGUCGUCAGCUCGUGUCGUGAGAUGUUGGGUUAAGUCCCGCAACGAGCGCAACCCCUAUUGUUAGUUGCCAUCAUUCAGUUGGGCACUCUAGCGAGACUGCCGGUAAUAAACCGGAGGAAGGUGGGGAUGACGUCAAAUCAUCAUGCCCCUUAUGACCUGGGCUACACACGUGCUACAAUGGUUGGUACAACGAGUUGCGAGUCGGUGACGGCAAGCUAAUCUCUUAAAGCCAAUCUCAGUUCGGAUUGUAGGCUGCAACUCGCCUACAUGAAGUCGGAAUCGCUAGUAAUCGCGGAUCAGCACGCCGCGGUGAAUACGUUCCCGGGCCU